GACGUAGGGCGCGAGCGUUGUCCGGAAUUAUUGGGCGUAAAGAGCUCGUAGGUGGUUUGUCGCGUUUGUCCGUGAAAACUCACAACUCAAUUGUGGGCGUGCGGGCGAUACGGGCAGACUGGAGUACUGCAGGGGAGACUGGAAUUCCUGGUGUAGCGGUGGAAUGCGCAGAUAUCAGGAGGAACACCGGUGGCGAAGGCGGGUCUCUGGGCAGUACUGACGCUGAGGAGCGAAAGCGUGGGGAGCGAACAGGAUUAGAACCGUACGACA
Molecule: ribosomal RNA, 270 nt
Filed under: uncultured bacterium
Lineage: Bacteria
Description: partial 16S ribosomal RNA
Rfam family: Bacterial small subunit ribosomal RNA
Source: RNAcentral